RNAcentral lists this ribosomal RNA (466 nucleotides) under uncultured bacterium. Its description in RNAcentral is "partial 16S ribosomal RNA". It matches the Rfam family "Bacterial small subunit ribosomal RNA", at positions 28 to 507 of the family's 1533-position model. The record is from RNAcentral.
GAUGAACGCUGGCGGCGUGCUUAACACAUGCAAGUCGAACGGAAAGGCCCAAGCUUGCUUGGGUACUCGAGUGGCGGACGGGUGAGUAACACGUGGGUGAUCUGCCCUGCACUUCGGGAUAAGCCUGGGAAACUGGGUCUAAUACCGGAUAGGACCACAUUUUGGAUGGUGUGGUGGAAAGUUUUUCGGUGUGGGAUGAGCUCGCGGCCUAUCAGCUUGUUGGUGGGGUAAUGGCCUACCAAGGCGUCGACGGGUAGCCGGCCUGAGAGGGUGUACGGCCACAUUGGGACUGAGAUACGGCCCAGACUCCUACGGGAGGCAGCAGUGGGGAAUAUUGCACAAUGGGCGCAAGCCUGAUGCAGCGACGCCGCGUGGGGGAUGACGGCCUUCGGGUUGUAAACUCCUUUCGCUAGGGACGAAGCGUUAUGUGACGGUACCUGGAGAAGAAGCACCGGCUAACUACGUG